Molecule: ribosomal RNA, 484 nt
Filed under: uncultured bacterium
Lineage: Bacteria
Description: partial 16S ribosomal RNA
Rfam family: Bacterial small subunit ribosomal RNA
Source: RNAcentral
AUUGAACGCUGGCGGUAGGCCUAACACAUGCAAGUCGAGCGGCUGCAGGGAGCUUGCUCCUGGUUUCAGCGGCCGACGGGCGGGCAAGGCCUAGGAAUCUGCCUGUUUGCGUGGGAUUACGUGCGGACACGGGCGCUAAUACGCCAUUCGUGCAGAGGGCGAACGGGUGGGAGCUUCGGACCUUCCGCUCUCACGUGAGCCUAGGGCCGAUUAGCUAGUUGGUGGGGUAAAGGCCUACCGAGGCGACGAUGCGUCACUGGUCUGCGAGGAUGAUCGGUCACCCUUGAACUGAGACACGGUCCAAGCUCCUACGGGAAGGAGCAGUGGGGAAUAGUGGACAAUGGGCGAAAGCCUGAUCCCGGCAUGACGCGUGUGUGAAGAAGGUCCUCGGAUUUGAAAGCACUUUAAGUUGGGAGGAAGGGCAGUAAGGUAAUACCUUGCUGUUUUGGCGGUACCAACAGAAUAAGCACCGGCUAACUUCGUG